RNAcentral lists this transfer RNA (77 nucleotides) under Alphaproteobacteria bacterium. RNAcentral describes it as "tRNA-His". It matches the Rfam family "tRNA". Rfam says of the family: Transfer RNA (tRNA) molecules are approximately 80 nucleotides in length. Their secondary structure includes four short double-helical elements and three loops (D, anti-codon, and T loops). Lineage: Bacteria; Pseudomonadati; Pseudomonadota; Alphaproteobacteria. The record is from RNAcentral.
GCGGAUGUAGCUCAGUUGGUUAGAGCGUCGGUUUGUGGUACCGAAUGUCGCCAGUUCGAAUCUGGUCAUCCGCCCCA